AGAAUAUUUACAAUCUAAAAACUGAAACUUAGCAAUGGCUGAUGCCUGUAAUGUCAUCCUCAAGUUCUUUCCAGCAUUACAACUGAGAUUAUAUAUGGUAUGAACCUCGUGAAAAUAGUAACGCAAUGGCUGUCUUACGAACUUAAGUGUCCAGUGUAACUCCUGUCUUUUCCAUUGUGUGCCCUGUCAUUCUCUUUAUAUCGUUUUGACUUCUUCGCAGAGUCCAUCCUAUCACUGUUCCCCCUCCUUUUUCGAUUGAUUGAUCGGCUACUUCCCCUUGUUGUACCACCACUAUAGUCCCCAUCAUCAUUUAACUCAGAUUCCACAUUGUGAUCUUCAGAAUCAUCAAUUACAGACUUCUUACUACUUUUAGAGUGUGUUCCAGUAGCACCUUCAUCAGGUUCCCAGCGGCCUCUUUCCCCAAUGUCUUCAUUAUGGUGAUAAGGGUGAUCCCUAUCUGAAUGGACCCUCUUGUCAGAACUUGGCUUUCUUUUAUCUGUGAUAGCAGCAGUCCAAUCUCCAGUGGUAUUAUUAUCAUGGCUUCCGCUAUUCUUAUCCCAGCGAUCAGGUGAUGAUGGAACACCGUUAUGGCGCCUAGAACUGCUUCUUCUUUUCUUGUGACGCGAACUUCUGUCUCUUUUCUCAUCCAACCACUCACUGCUGGAAUCUGUAUUACGAUCUUCCUUGCUAUGUCUUGAGCCCUUCUCACUGUUACCAGAUCCUGCAUCUCCGUAUCUCUUCUUUUCCAGCAAAUCAUCACCAGAGUCGGAACCACUAACUCGUUUUUUGAUGUGAUCAUUACGAUGUUGAAGCCCCAUUUUUUCAUUAUGGUGGUUUCUUGAUUUUCUUCCUGUGCUAUGGUGGCGCUUCACUCCCUCUUUCUCUCUGUCAGAUAAAUCCCAAUCAGAGU
RNAcentral lists this unclassified non-coding RNA (910 nucleotides) under Hevea brasiliensis (rubber tree). Lineage: Eukaryota; Viridiplantae; Streptophyta; Magnoliopsida; Malpighiales; Euphorbiaceae. The record is from RNAcentral.